Molecule: long non-coding RNA, 1891 nt
Organism: Oncorhynchus tshawytscha (Chinook salmon)
Lineage: Eukaryota; Metazoa; Chordata; Actinopteri; Salmoniformes; Salmonidae
Exons: 2
Source: RefSeq, a predicted model, not a curated record
CAGGUGAGUUGUUGCUUGAAGAAUUGCAACAUAUUUGAACUCGGUGCCGUUUAAAAAAACGUUUAUAGACAAAUAAGCUUUAAUGUAAUACAAAAUGAACGGACUGGGGUCUGAUAGGUAUUUAGUCAAAUCGAGCCUUUUAGACCUCGAUAGCAAGCUUCACUGGACCAAUGGCACAUAUCAUUUGGCCACACCAUGAACUGUUGUUUUUCUUUACCAAACAAGUUCAACUUAAUUAAAAAUAGGGUGAUCAUCAUUAGACUACGUGGUGCUCAAAAGUUGAAAUCCAUGACUUGUUAUCAUGUAAUAACUCAAUAAUAAUGCCGCCUUAGAUUGUCCAGCAGAGCAGAAGCCAUUUUUCUGUAACACUCAAGCACACAUGGCAAAUAUAGCACACAUACCAUCUAUGCAUUAGAGCCAUGUGCUGAAUUCACCUGACACUCCUAGACAAUGCAAUAGCUAAAGUUCCUAGACAAGCAAUAGCUAAAGAUCGGGGGAUUGGGACUGACAGUGAAAGAAACAAGUUUGAACAAGCAAUGUUAUUGAUUAUCCGUGAAUUCACCAGAGAGAUGGUGGUAAGGGCCUGAGAUGCAGGAGUGUUCCCUGUGAGGACUGGGGUAAUGACUGGGGUAAUGACUGUGAACAGGAGCAGCAAGGAGGAUCAACAAAAGGGGGUGCAAGGAGCUUGUUGAGAGAGAUUCUUCUCUCCUUUCACAGACAUAAUUUAACACAAGGAUGCUUCCCACUGGACACACCAUAUCAUUUCAACGUGGAAAUGUGGGUAAUAUUUGGUUUAGAUGUUGAUCAAUGAGAUUUCAAUCUUUAUUCACACACUCAAAAAGUCAGCCUGAAUUAUUUUGAAUUCCCAAUGUAUUACUGUGCUUUCAACCAUCUUAAAAGCACAACUAAAUUCCAAUGAAAAAACGAUGAGUUUUUUAUUUAGUUGUCAUCUAAAUGUGUUAUCACUGCACUUUCAACCAUUUAAAAGCACAACAAAGUUCAAAUGGGAAUACAAUGUCAGAUAUUUUGGAUUUAUACAACAUUUAAUGUGUAAUCAUUGUGCUUAACCUAUUUUAUCCCAUCAGUUACAAUAGUGACCGUAAAAAAUAUUGAAAUAAUAAAGAGUCUCAAUGAAAUAUGUGCAGUGUUACAUGUUUAUUUUAAAUUGUCACAUGACCAGAGCUGUUUACUUCCUGGUUGCACCAUGAGAAGACGAUGGCUGCAUUAAAGCUCCCAAACAAAAGUUUCACUUUGAGUCAAGUUCUGGAUAUGUUGGAUCUAGGUGACUGCCCAGACAAGCGAUGGGUCAGAUAUGGAUUAUGAGGGGGAGACAGGCCAUUUGCCAGCCAGGCUGUUGAAUGUAUAUGCUGAACCUAUGCAAACAGAUCAUGACAGGAACAACAUUAUCAGUGAUGAUGACCUACCCUUCACCACCCUACACUCUCCUCCCUGAGACUGGGUUGGGUCAUGGACCCAGUGUCGUUCUUGGUGUUGCAGAGAAAUCUCAGGUGCCUCAAGGUUGCAAGAUCCUUCAUGACAACCUCUUCACUUCGCUUGCACUCUUCGAUGAAAUGACAAAAAGAGGAUAUGGGAGCUCUGGAACGAUGAGGCAAAAUCGUCUGUUUGAUGUCCCAUUCAAGCCACAGAAGGACUUCAUGAAGUUACCCCGGGGAACCUCUGAGGUUCUGACCCAAGGAGACAAGGUGCUGGUCCGUUAGAAAGACAAUAACAUUGUCACAGUGGCAACAAACAUGGAGGAGAAAUACAGUGAGACCUCUGUCAAGAGAUAGAACAAGGAGCGACGUGCCUUUUGACAAAGUCCCACAACCAAAAUGCAUCAACCGAUACAAUGAGCACAUGGGUGGUGUUGAACUUCACAACCUACAGAUUU